AUUGAACGCUGGCGGCAUGCCUUACACAUGCAAGUCGAACGGCAGCACGGGUGCUUGCACCUGGUGGCGAGUGGCGAACGGGUGAGUAAUACAUCGGAACGUACCUUAUCGUGGGGGAUAACGCAGCGAAAGCUGUGCUAAUACCGCAUACGCCCUGAGGGGGAAAGCGGGGGAUCGCAAGACCUCGCGCGAUUAGAGCGGCCGAUGCCUGAUUAGCUAGUUGGUGGGGUAAAAGCCCACAAAGGCGACGAUCAGUAGCUGGUCUGAGAGGACGAUCAGCCACACUGGGACUGAGACACGGCCAAGAAUCCUACGGGAGGCAGCAGUGGGGAACUUUGGACAAUGGGGGCAACCCUGAUCCAGCAAUGCCGCGUGAGUGAAGAAGGCCUUCGGGUUGUAAAGCUCUUUUGUCAGGGAAGAAACACCGGCUCUAACACAGUCCGGGAAUGACGGUACCUGAAGAAUAAGCACCGGCUAACUACGUGCCAGCAGCCGCAGUAA
RNAcentral lists this ribosomal RNA (501 nucleotides) under uncultured bacterium. RNAcentral's name for it is "partial 16S ribosomal RNA". It matches the Rfam family "Bacterial small subunit ribosomal RNA", at positions 29 to 523 of the family's 1533-position model. The record is from RNAcentral.